UCUCUUGUGCGUCUCUUUCUCUUGCAUCACACUCAAAGAUCUCAAUCACUCAGUAACUGGAAGGCACACAGUAUGGAGCUCUCUCCUCUAGGCCUGCUGUUCGUGCUGAGCUUGUAUUCCUACUCUGGACAUGCUGAAGCUCUGCCCACAGCUACAGUGACUGU
Long non-coding RNA from Clupea harengus (Atlantic herring), 164 nucleotides. RefSeq lists it as uncharacterized. NCBI's taxonomy places the organism in Eukaryota, Metazoa, Chordata, Actinopteri, Clupeiformes, Clupeidae. The transcript is spliced from 3 exons. The record is from RefSeq and is a predicted model, not a curated record.